CAAAAACAUGUCCUUUUGUUUUCUAAAUAUAAGGUCUAACCUGCCCAAUGACUAUUGUUGUUGAAUGGCCGCGGUAUUUUAACUGUGCUAAGGUAGCAUAAUCAUUUGUCUUUUAAUUAAAGGCUAGAAUGAAUGGUUGGACGAGAUGCAAGCUUUCUUUAAUUUAUUUAAUGAACUUAAUUUUUUAGUUAAAAAGCUAAAAUUUAUUUGAGGGACGAGAAGACCCUAUAGAUCUUUAUAUUUAUAACUUUUAUUUAUUUUAGAGUAAUUAGUUAUUUUAAUAGUUAUAUUUAUUUGGUUGGGGUGACUAUAGAAUUUAAAAUAACUUCUAUUUUGUUUUUUCAUUAAUUAGUGUUAUAUUGAUCCAAUUUUAUUGAUUAAAAGAUUAAGUUACCUUAGGGAUAACAGCGUAAUUUUUUCGGAGAGUUCUUAUCGAUGAAAGAGUUUGCGACCUCGAUGUUGGAUUAAAAUAAGUUUAGGGUGUAGCAGCUUUAUAACUAGGUCUGUUCGACCUUUAAUAUUUUACAUGAUCUGA
RNAcentral lists this ribosomal RNA (535 nucleotides) under Pselliopus sp. 00003225. RNAcentral describes it as "partial 16S ribosomal RNA". It matches the Rfam family "Bacterial large subunit ribosomal RNA", at positions 1808 to 2608 of the family's 2925-position model. Lineage: Eukaryota; Metazoa; Arthropoda; Insecta; Hemiptera; Reduviidae. The record is from RNAcentral.